GAUGAAGAACGCAGCGAAAUGCGAUAAGUAGUGUGAAUUGCAGAAUUCAGUGAAUCAUCGAAUCUUUGAACGCACAUUGCGCCCCUUGGUAUUCCAUGGGGCAUGCCUGUUCGAGCGUCAUUUGUACCCUCAAGCUUUGCUUGGUGUUGGGCGUCUUGUCUCCUUUUCUCAAGGAGACUCGCCUUAAAGUAAUUGGCAGCCAGUGUUUUUGGCAGUAAGCGCAGCACAUUUUGCGUCUUAGUCCCUAAACAGUGGCAUCCAGGAAGCCUCUUUCUCACUUUUGACCUCGGAUCAGGUAGGGAUACCCGCUGAACUUAAGCAUAUCAAUAAGCGGAGGA
This 338-nucleotide unclassified non-coding RNA is filed under the name soil metagenome. Its description in RNAcentral is "partial contains 5.8S ribosomal RNA, internal transcribed spacer 2, and large subunit ribosomal RNA". The stretch from base 1 to 120 matches the Rfam family "5.8S ribosomal RNA", at positions 35 to 154 of the family's 154-position model. The record is from RNAcentral.